UUCAUUACUUUAUGCGUAUUAGAAUGCCUUCACUUUAUGAUCAUAAUGCUGCAUUAUUUCGAUGCUAUGUCUCGUUAAACAACAUGAUAGAAACGAUCUCACAAUAUUUUGAAAUUCACAUUGAACAAAGUAUGCUAAAGUAUCUCCUUCCUAUAAAACCUUUUUUCCUUCUUCCAUAGUGUAUUUUUUUUAUCGAGUUAGCUUCAACUUGGGCGUUUUCUUUAUACUGUAAUCCGAUUACAAGGAUUGGAUAUAGGUUAUUCAAAAUUCAGCCCUAAGCUGCCAGAUUUUAAAUCGCGAUUGAAAAAAACCACGUUGGUAUUUUAUUGACUUUGUAUCGUGUUGAGAAUUUAUCAAAAUUGAUGCAUAUAGAAUGAGCUUCGUGGAAAAUUUUCCUACGUAGUUCUUUGUUUGUAUUCAAAUUUUGUAUCCGGAUUGGAAAAUUAUCAUAAUGAGGGUGGAAUUUGGAGUUUUAAAAUUUUUUUACUCGUAAAGUCAUUUUCUACGAGCUUAAAGAAAAUAAAAAUAGAUAUCAUUGCGUUUUGAAGCUCACUUUCGAUACGAGAAAAAAAUCAUUUUAAGGGCCUAAAAUUUCAAAAAAAAAAAAAACAAUUAAAUCACGAAUUGAAAUUUCUCAAACUCGAAUGAUCAACUUUUAAUAAUUUUUUUGGGUUUGAAGUCAUACUUUUUGAAAAUAAGAAAAAGAAAAAAUGAAAUCGAUGCCAGAAAUUCAUAAUUCGAUGACUUUUGAAUCUAUUCGCAGAAUCACAAUCGAAGAAUUUCUUUUCAAACGCGAGAAAUUGAUUCCAUGAUUGAUCGUGUUUCAUUCAUUUCACGUUGUUUAAUAUUUCAAUGUUUUUGCCCGCUUAUCUGAUACAAAUCAGGUGGAAAAGAAUGAAAAAUGAAGUAAAAAUUGAAAAUAAUUCAUAUUUUACAUCGCUGCGAGGAAAUUGGUUUUUUAUACCAAGAUGAAGGAGUUUGUCACCUAUAAUGUCAUGUUUGUGUUUUCUAAGCAGCUUUACUUUUCAUAUUUUUUCUCUUUCCGUUUCCCUCUCGCUAUUUUUUGUAGCAAAAAAUCUUGACGAAAAUGUUGGAAAAUAUGACGCUCGGAUUAUUUGAUACUUAUGUCAUCGCGUUCCAUAUACCGAUCACUAUUUUAUGUAUGGUGAAAGAUUCGACGACGAUAACAAAAACCUUCACGGUAUUCUUGUCUGUUAAGCUCGUCAAAUGGUUGACAAAAAUGUUAGGAUGAAAUUACAUUUAUAUAGAGAGGUUUCGUUUUAAAAGCUCUACGAAUAUAUACGCUUUGGUGAUUGAAAUCUCGCUCAUCUUUUUAAAACGCAGAGAGCUCUUUUUGCGUGGAUACUUUCAAGUUUAUAGACCUGUUCCGGCAACAGGUGUAAAUUACGUAUUUCGUACCCGUAUGGAAAAUUUUUUCAAUCCCACUGGAAAAGAUACAGCUCGAUUUUGCCUACGGCUGCGAGCUGAAAAGUUGCCUCAAAUGUGAGCGAAUUCGAGCACAGGACUAGCGCUUAAUUAUAUCGACCUUGAGGGCGAACCUUUAUGGUAAAAACUUUUCGCCUUGUCUGCCUUUGUGACAAAAACCGAAAUUACUUUGAAUCAUCGAUGCUUUUACCCUUUGAACCAGCAGCAUAGCGUCGUCGUCGAUGUAACGAGAUACUUGUAAUUAAGCAUGGCGAGCCACUUUUCCAUAUAACUAAGAAACCUGAGCAAAACUCUAGUACCUACGUAUAUAGUUCUACUGGCAAGGUUUAAAUUGCGAAUGGCUGUUAUCUCUGCUUUAAGUUUUCUACUUCGUGGGUAGGUGGGAAGAUGAACUAUGUCGUCGUUCGCCCUAGAAUUGCUUAAUAAAGGGUGAAGCUGAAAUUACAAGAGUACCCCGUAGCGAAGUCAUUGCGCAUAAUAAGUCUUUUGUCAUAUUUAUAUACGGCGAGUACACUAAAGACUUAGGUGGUUUCAUUUUAAAAAAAAGUAGAUUUUUUUUCUUUUUUAAUUAAACAGGCUAUGAAAUUUCUCCAUGUGGAGUUUUUCAUACCGCAGUAAACAGCAUUUCGCCAACGGCGUUGAAAAGUAUCGUAUUAUCAAAGUUAUUAGCUCGUUGAGAAAAGACCCUAAGACGCCAUUUUUUUUCUACUUGUAGGCUUACACGCGAUGAAAAAAAUAGCUAACAAUAGUUUGAGAUCUCGUACGUAUGUACCCUUAGCGUGGAAGUAAAUUUACCUUUCUGUUCGUUUUAUUCUCUGACAACCAUGUGAAACAUGGAUUUUCCUUAGACCCAAAGAGAUAAUCUUUACGAAAGUAGUUUUCUUUCUAAAUAGCCAUCAUUUAGGUUUCUAAAUAAGAUGUUUCAGUUUUACUUUUCUUAAAAUCGAUCCCAACCAAAGAAGGAGUUGUUUAAUCUACUUACUUUUUGUUUUGUUAUCAGAGUGACCCAUCGAAAAUUUUUCUAAUUGCGAAAAGAAACGAGCUAGCGAACAAGAAUAUAAGUACUCGUAGAUAGGUAAUUAGAAGGUGAAGUUUUUCUGUCAUCUUAAUCCCAUGUGAUAAGGCGAUGUUCGUAAAGAGGUAUCGUUCUGUAAAAUAUGUGUUAUAGCAUGUUUCGAAUUUCUCAUCAGAUCGAGUGUUUGGAUUUCAUUUCUUUUUGUACUGUCAAUAAGGGAACUUCUCGAUUACUCAGUCAGCUAUUUAUGACUCUUUUUUCAUCGGAGCUGGGAAAUCCCUCGCACAAAAUAAGUUUAGUCGCCUAACUGAAAUAUUGAAGGGUUCUACACACGAACGAUUAAAUUAAUCAAAAUUGCUGGUCCGAUAACUGCAGUCACGUUUCAGGACUUGAUUUUGAUUGGAGAAAAGAAAAUGACUUCCUUUAUAUGCUUUGUAAAAAUCUUUUCGUGUUGGGUAGUAAUUAUGAAGAGGAAAGGAGGGGGCUGGUUAAAAAAAUGGAUUCGAAAUUUGAAAUCAGUGCUUUUGAAACCUCAAUAAAGCAAAGAUCACGCGACUUUUUCAAUUUUAUAAAAUUUGGGAGCUUAUUGUGAAGAUCCAGGAAGCUUAUAGCAAAAAAUCGAGUUCAAGUUUGAAAUCGGCACCUCUGAAUAUCCAACAAACAACAGAUCACACACAGGCGUGUUCAUCAGUCCUGCAUAUCUUGCUUUCUUUACUCGUACUUUUGUCCUGUUUUUUGUAAAAAUUAUCAAGAAAAUACUGGUUUUUUUUUAAAUUGCCAAACAAGUCUUUUUUUCUCGUUUUUUCACACAAACAAAAAAGUUCUGUGUUCUGCCAGAAAUCAUCUUUAGCUUUUUUGAUAAUAUUAUGUACAUCCAAACGUAUCAAUUCUUGUCUUAGCUGUUUAGUCCCCUGUUUUCAAAAAUUUCUGAAAAAACUUGUUUUUUGACCAAAGUGCACGAAAAAAGUUACUCGUUUUGUCGAAAUGGCUGAAAAAUGUCCCGUUUUCAUUCAAAAUUGCCAGAAAGUCCCAUUUUUGUCAAAAUUUUCAGAAAGUUCCAUUUCUUACCAAAGUUGAUAAAAAAUUAUAAUUUUUGGCGAAUUAUCAAGAAGUAAGUACUUACUGAUUGUUGCCUAACUUGUUGAGAAAGGUCUUGUGUUUUUGUCAAAAUAGCCAAAAUUAUCAAAAAGGCUUUUGCAAAAUUGCCAAGAUGUGAGAAAUUUCUAUUUUUUUGCCAAGAUAUCCAGAAAGAAUUGAGUUUUUUCUUUAGCUGUCUAAGAAGUUGUGUUUUUUCAAAAUUUCCAAUCAAAAGUUCCAGACUCAGUUCGAAAUUAUGAAUGAUUAGAGGUAAAGCAGUUGAAUUGUAGGUAAAUCUUAGGCAACGUCAGCCAAUCAAAGAGUGUGUUUUUUUUACAAGUUGCAAAUUUAAAAAAAAUUCAAAAUUGCCAGCCUAUGAGCUUACCUAUUUCCAUAGAAAAUCGUUGUAAAUUUCCUCUAGUUCUGAAAGUCGACUCCCCCUCCCAGAAUUUGAGAUCAUAUUCGCGUUGAGGAGGUUUGAUUUAUUAAAGAAACUACGUCGAACAAUUUAGCCCAUGAUCACCUUUAAGAUAUCACGUUUUUAAUAAAAGAAUGUCUUCUCAUAAAAAAUUAUACUAUUCACAUCUACUGCUAAAAUUUGCUUGCGAGGAUUUUGGAACAUUUUUUUUUUAUUUUUCGAAAAUUCAACCAUCGUCGUUGAAUUCAGAACCACACCUCUCAGCAACCUUGAAAGUCAAUUUUUAAUUAUAUCUAAAUAAUGAAUUAUUGCAUGUACGUAAGUGGGUAAUAGUUUAAAUCGACAAAAAUAUCCACUUAUUCAUCUGAAACAACUCAUUUUGAGUACCUAUGUAUAAACCAGUCCGAUAACGUUUAUUAUGAUAAUAAUUCUUGAACACUUGAAAUUUUCACACGAAAAGCAAUAUCAUUGGCGAGAAUCAUGUAGGUGGGCAUAAAGACUCAGGUCGAAUAAGCCUGGAUUGAAAUUGUCAAUUGAAUUAUAAGUAUUAGUAGGAUAAGAAGUGAGGAAAGCACUACUUUUCAAACGAAAAUCAAGCAGAAUAUAGACCUAUCGCGGUUUUACAGUAAACUUGAACAUUAAAACUAAUGGAAAAUAUACCCAAAUUACCGGUGUGGAAUAAAUGGAAAAGACCAACAUCGAUCCCAUAUCCAAACACAUGGCAUCGAUUUACAACAAAAACAAAAGAUGGUAAAGUGUUGAAAAUGAAAAUUGUAGAUUUGACUCCAGAUAGAUUUGAAGAAAGUUUGGAAUUUCUGAGAAAUUAUUUCUAUUUAGAUGAGCCUAUUUGUAGAUCUCUGAAAUUAUUAGAAGACGAGAUAAGUGCCAAUAAUGAGAUGUGUAAACAAAGUGAGGCCUCACAGCAACGCGUCAGUAUCAUUGCUGUAUUGGAUGAAGAAAACUCAAAACCUGAAAUGGUUGGGUUGCAGAAGCUGCGGAUAAUUUCCAAGGAUGAUGGACCCCAACCGAAAGCAAGUUGAAUGUUUACCUAAAAAAUGAAUUCGAUAGAAUAGAAAAUGAAAGCUUUUUAUUCAUUUUCGUAUCUUGACUGGAAAUGCGAUGGGAAAACUAGAAAAAAUAUUCCGUGAUCUGUACCACAAUCGUGAUCCAUUCGAAAUUUUAGAAACUGAUGUAUUUUUGAAAGGACUUGGCCUAUGUGUGAAACCUGAUUACCAAGGGAUUGGUAUAGGCUACAAUCUUCUACUUUGCUUGGAAAAACUAGCGAACGCCUACGAUGUGAAAGGAUGUAUGACUACAUUCACUCGUAUUGAGUCUCAAAUUCUAGCUGAGAGAGUUGGAUUCAAAAUGUAUAACGAAAUAUCUUAUUCGGAUUAUAAAGAUGAAGAAGGACGUAGGAUAUUUUCAAUUGAACACACCAAAUCAUUUAAAAUGAUGGGAAUCAAGUAUUAGACCUAAUGACUUGUUACCUACCUAUGAUGGAAUUUUGAUAACGUGUUUAAGAAAUUAUUCAAAGUGAAAACGAAUCGAAUGUGAAUUUUAUGAUAGUUACCUUCAUUAUUUUAUGAAUACAAUUAUUAUUAUUUUUUAAAACUUAA
Planococcus citri (citrus mealybug) is the source of this 5572-nucleotide RNA transcript. RefSeq lists it as uncharacterized. NCBI's taxonomy places the organism in Eukaryota, Metazoa, Arthropoda, Insecta, Hemiptera, Pseudococcidae. The record is from RefSeq and is a predicted model, not a curated record. The transcript is spliced from 4 exons.